CUAUGAAAGAAUGAGCCCCACAAAACAUGAAGCCACUUCUCACUGAUCUUGCAUUUGCACCUGGAUUAAGCCAGGCCUGAAGGCGGUGCUCCUUGCAUUAAGGCCAGUCAGUAUUGGGCUUCUGAUCCUUGCAACUAAGAGACUUCCAGGGAAUACAAGAUGUGUGUCAUUANNNNNNNNNNNNNNNNNNNNNNNNNNNNNNNNNNNNNNNNCAUUUGGAGGCCAGGAAAGCCUCCUAGAGGAAAGGGCAUUUGAGGUUGAACUUAAAGGAUGAAUGGGGUUUCUUGGGCAGAUCUCUCAGUGAUGGGACAACAUUGCCAUGGUAUUAGGUAGGCCCAGUGUUGUUUGACCACAGAAUGAGAGGGUGGGUUGGAAAGACGUACAGGGGCCCCAGAGACCCCUCACAAAGGGCUUCAAAAGGGCCAGAGAAUAUGAGUUUUAUUCUUCACGCAUUAGGUUCACAUUCAGGAAAUUUCAAUAGAGGAGGCAGGGUUUCUCAAUUAACAAACUCCUCUUUGGAAACCCUCCUGGAACAGGUGAUCCCAGCCUCCUUCCUCCUGGAAGCCUGUCGUCUCCUCUGUAGGCGGAUUGGCUGCCCCAGCUCCACCGCCGGCUGCGGCUGAAUGGCACCGGCGUAAGUAAGCCAUGCUGGGCAAAAUUCCAGAAGAGACCGGCUAAGGCUUGGGAAAACUGAUUCUCUGAGUCUCUCAUUUCUUUCAGACUCGGAAAUUCUCCUCUUGCUCAUUUCUACCAGGAACAAAGAGCAUGACGGGCUGUUGCAAUAGGCUCUGCGAGCUGUGGUGGAGUCUGAGGGGGCGGGGGCUACAGUGGUCCCUCCAGCAGUGUCCGUGGGGCUUCCUUGCCAGAGGUGACCUGAGGCUCAGAAGAGGGGGUACCCAUCCAGCUGCCUUUCUCUUGACAAAGGAAAACCUUGAACAGAAGAAGCCGACUGAGCCGGGAGGAGAGGAAGCGUCAGGAGUGCCCUCAAGGGAAGAAUACCUCAAGACUUCACUGACGGUGUACCAUGCCUGCCCUUUCCCAGUUCUCAGUCCUGACUCUUGGACUCUUGCUGGGGUUCAGCCUGCCCACCAGCACUUCAAGAAGGAGAAUUUAUAGACCUCAACCAGAAAGUUUGCCCAGGUCAGGAUCUAGAAUAGCAUGAAUGAGACUUGUGAUCUCUAAGCCAUUAGAGGUGGGGGAGCUUUUUGGGGAAACUUCAGUUUCUGGCAGAAAGUCCAGAAAUGGAAACUAGACUCUUCCAUGCCAUUGUCAAUUCAGUGUAAAAUUCAGGGGAGGGAUACUGAUGGGGCUUGUUGGCGGCAGGGUUUCAUUUGUUUAGAAACCAGGAAGCCUGGUUUCAUCUCUGCAUAGAGUGGGUGAAGGUAGAGAUUUGACUUAAAACAAUGGAUUCCAGCCCUGGCUGCCUGCUGCAAUCACCUGGGAGCUUUCAGCUCUACUGGGUCCCAGCCCCAGAGAUGCAGGUGAGGUUGACCUGGGUGCCAGCCUGACACUGGAUAUUUAAAUUCUAAUGUCAGCCAGGUUAGUGUAAUAUGCAGUCAGGGCUUUGAACUGUUGGAAAGGACAGGGGAGGACGGAGUAGUUUCUCACCUUCUGAUAUUCUUAACACUCAAUUCCAAUGAUGCUAAGAUGCAAUUUUCUUUUCACAUUUUAACAUCUCUGAAAUAAUCGUGUCUUCUAAUCACCGUGAUGAGAAAAGACUGCCUUGUAAUUUUGUUGAAAGUGUUCUUUCCAUCUUAGUGAUGUCUGGAAUAAUAGUUUGCCUUAUAAUCGACAGUGAAAUACGACCUCAAGUCUUAAUUCUUCCUCACAGGGAGGCAGCAAGGAAGAGCAAAUUGCCGCACUCGAACGCACAUCAGAUUUGCCUGGAAGGCUGUUCACACAGUGGUUGGGCCACAUCCCUCUGCGAGUUCAGGGUGAGGUCCGAUAAUUUACGUUUCUAACAAUUUCCCCAGUGGUGAUGCUAACGCUGCUGGUCCUGGUUCUCAUGUUGAGAAUCGAUGGUUAAGUGAGUAGUCCUGAUGCUGAACGCUUGUGUCCUCCCCAAACNNNNNNNNNNNNNNNNNNNNNNNNNNNNNNNNNNNNNNNNNNNNNNNNNNNNNNNNNNNNNNNGGUCAUGAGGGUGGAGCCAUCAUGAAUAGAAUUAGCAGCCUCAUUAAAGGGAUCCCAGGGAGCACCUCCUGGGCCCUUUGGCCAUGUGAAGUUGGCCAUCUAUGAACCAGAAAGCACCAAAUACCAAAUCUGCAAGCAUCUUGGUCUUGGAUUUACCAGCCUCCAGACAGUGAGAAAUGUUUGUUGUCUGAGUUAUCCAGUCAAUGGUCUUUUUGCCGUAGUAGCCUAAGAGCUAUAAUGUCUAAGUGAAGAGAUCACGGUGGCGACUGACGCAACCUUUGAUAGCCUAGGGCUGGGCUAAGUAAGCCCUUUCUAUGGCUGAAAACAGUUAGUCCUGACAGCAAUCCCAUGGCUGAAAACACCUAGUCCUGAGAGCAACCCCAUAAAAUUGGUGUNNNNNNNNNNNNNNNNNNNNNNNNNNNNNNNNNNNNNNNNNNNNNNNNNNNNNNNNNNNNNNNNNNNNNNNNNNNNNNNNNNNNNNNNNNNNNNNNNNNAGCAACCCCAUAAAAUUGGUGUUAACAUUCCCCCAUUUUGCAGAGAAGAAAACUGAGUCAGUAAGUGGCUAGUACAGCCUGCAAACCUAGAGCUGCGAUUUGAGCCCUGGCAAUUAGACUCACUGCACACUUCCGCAGCCCCUGCCCUUUGUAGGUGGUGUCAACCCGGAAAAUCAUCUUCUUUUCUUCAUUUGUAAACUGUGGCUACUGUGCUUUCUCUGGGGUGGGGGGGUGGGGUUUGUCACCAACAAGCUAAUCCUUCUGCCUGGAGCAUCCUGUUAGUGCUCGCUGCAUGGCAGCUGCUGUUUCUGAGAAUUCUUCUCUACUUCUGCUUAACCACAGGGAGGCAGUGUGCUCAAGUGGGGACCAGACCUGCCUUUGGGAGUCAAAGACUAGGUCUGACAAUGAUUUUUGCCACGAACUUUAGCCAGUGGGAAGUCACUGGUUGAGCUUGUGUUACACGUAGGGACUUACAUGGCCCCAGAGCAGGAGGUAGCUGAGAUUCAAGGUCAUCAGGCUUGGAAGGCAUUUCCCUGAGUGAUACCAAGUGACAAGACUCAUGUUGGGAGCAGGACAAUGACAUUGCCAGGGCCACAGAGCUUAGCAGUCAUUCAAUUUUCAACACACAUUUUUUAGGUACCUACCAGGUGCCAACCACUGUGCUGGGCCUGGGGAGAGAGGGCUGGAUGAGGAAGAUCUGCCCCUGGACUUUGUAUCCUAGCAUGUGGGUGGAGGGAUGGAAGAGGGAGGAAGGUGUAAAAGGGAUUAAUAAACCACACAUGAGUGAGAUAUGUGACAAGCACAAUCAGGAAUAUAGUCUGAUUUGCCAGAAGGACUGGCAAGGUCAUUAUAGAUAAGGAUGGCCAGACACUUCUGGGGAGGUAGAAUUUUAGAUGGAAAUUGGAAGUCAGUGUGUGCAUGAGCAAUAAUCACCUGUUAAUAAUAAUAGUUAUUUUUUAGCACUGACUAUGUGUUUGGUACUGUGCCAAGUUAAAUGAAUGCUUCUCACAGCCCUUUGAAGCAUAAUUACUAGUGUGAUGCCCAUUUGAUAGAUGAGGAAAUUGAGGUUUAAAGGGGUGAAGUAGCUGGCCCAACAGAUGCAGAGGGACCAGGAUUCAAACACAGGAGGUCUGAUGGAUUGGGGUGCUCCCAGUCACCAUACUUGACAAUCUCUUGGGACAGAAGCCCAAGGCAGAAGAGAUCUCCUGGGGUGAUCACAGGAGGUGCUACAGUACAGACGCAGCCAGGGCUGGGUUUGAAUCCCUGACACAUGACCCGGAGCAAGUCACAGUACCACUUGGAUGUUCAGGCUCCUCUCCUGUGAAAUGGAGAAAAUAACAACAAAUGCUGCUUUCAAGAUUCAGCCAGUCAAUGUGAACUUAGUCCGGUUUCUGGCAUAUAUGAAACCCUCAGACAAAGGCACUAUUAUUGUUCUACACUGGGGAGAAUGCAGC
RNAcentral lists this long non-coding RNA (4078 nucleotides) under Capra hircus (goat). Its description in RNAcentral is "lncRNA (ENSCHIG00010027955.1)". The record is from RNAcentral. Lineage: Eukaryota; Metazoa; Chordata; Mammalia; Artiodactyla; Bovidae.